AGAGUUUGAUCAUGGCUCAGGAUGAACGCUAGCGGCAGGCCUAACACAUGCAAGUCGAACGGUAACAUAAGAGCUUGCUCUUGAUGACGAGUGGCGCACGGGUGAGUAACACGUAUACAAUCUACCUUUAACUGAGGAAUAGCCCAGAGAAAUUUGGAUUAAUACCUCAUAACAAUGAUUUUUGGCAUCAAAAAAUAUUUAAAACCCCAGUGGUUAAAGAUGAGUAUGCGUUCUAUUAGUUUGUUGGUGAGGUAACGGCUCACCAAGACUACGAUAGAUAGGGGGCCUGAGAGGGUGAUCCCCCACACUGGUACUGAGACACGGACCAGACUCCUACGGGAGGCAGCAGUGAGGAAUAUUGCACAAUGGAGGAAACUCUGAUGCAGCCAUGCCGCGUGAAGGAUGAAUGCCCUCUGGGUUGUAAACGUAAACUUCUUUUAUAUGGGAAUAAACCCUCGGACGUGUCCGAGGCUGAAUGUACCAUACGAAUAAGCACCGGCUAGCUCCGUGCCAGCAGCCGCGGUAAUACGGAGGGUGCAAGCGUUAUCCGGAUUUAUUAGGUUUAAAGGGUUCGCAGGCGGAAUUUUAAGUCAGUGGUGAAAGCCUACAGCUCAACUGUAGAACUGCCAUUGAUACUGAUAUUCUUGAGUAUAGAUGAAGUGGGCGGAAUAUGUCAUGUAGCGGUGAAAUGCAUAGAUAUGACAUGGAACACCAAUUGCGAAGGCAGCUCACUAAACUAUUACUGACGCUCAUGAACGAAAGCGUGGGGAGCGAACAGGAUUAGAUACCCUGGUAGUCCACGCCGUAAACUAUGAUCACUAGAUGUUGGCGAUAUAUUGUCAGUGUUUUAGAGAAAUCGUUAAGUGAUCCACCUGGGGAGUACGUUCGCAAGAAUGAAACUCAAAGGAAUUGACGGGGGCCCGCACAAGCGGUGGAGCAUGUGGUUUAAUUCGAUGAUACGCGAGGAACCUUACCAAGACUUAAAUGUAUUUUGACAGGUUGAGAAAUCAACUUUUCUUCGGACAAUUUACAAGGUGCUGCAUGGUUGUCGUCAGCUCGUGCCGUGAGGUGUCGGGUUAAGUCCCAUAACGAGCGCAACCCCUAUUUUUAGUUGCCAGCGAAUAAUGUCGGGAACUCUAGAAAGACUGCCUGUGUAAACAGUGAGGAAGGGGGGGAUGACGUCAAAUCAUCACGGCCCUUAUGUCUUGGGCUACACACGUGCUACAAUGGUCACUACAGUGGGCUGCCAUCUGGCAACAGAGAGCAAAUCCAUAAAGGUAAUCCCAGUUCGGAUCGGAGUCUGCAACUCGACUCUGUGAAGUUGGAAUCGCUAGUAAUCGUAUAUCAGCAAUGAUACGGUGAAUACGUUCCCGGGCCUUGUACACACCGCCCGUCAAGCCAUGGAAGUUUGUGGUACCUGAAGUCAGUAACCGUAAGGAACUGCCUAGGGUAAAAUAGAUAACUAGGGCUAAGUCGUAACAAGGUAAC
RNAcentral lists this ribosomal RNA (1488 nucleotides) under uncultured prokaryote. RNAcentral describes it as "partial 16S ribosomal RNA". It matches the Rfam family "Bacterial small subunit ribosomal RNA". The record is from RNAcentral.